AGCAGCCGCCACGGGAAUACGUAGGGUGCGAGCGUUAAUCGGAAUUACUGGGCGUAAAGCGUGCGCAGGCGGUUGUGUAAGACAGGUGUGAAAUCCCCGGGCUUAACCUGGAACUGCGCUUGUGACUGCACAGCUAGAGUAUGGCAGAGGGGGGUGGAAUUCCACGUGUAGCAGUGAAAUGCGUAGAGGUGUGGAGGAACACCGAUGGCGAAGGCAGCCCCCUGGGCCAAUACUGACGCUCAUGCACGAAAGCGUGGGGAGCAAACAGGAUUAGAUACCCCAGUAGUCCCUGUCUCUUAUACC
Molecule: ribosomal RNA, 303 nt
Filed under: uncultured bacterium
Lineage: Bacteria
Description: partial 16S ribosomal RNA
Rfam family: Bacterial small subunit ribosomal RNA
Source: RNAcentral